GACGAACGCUGGCGGCGUGCUUAACACAUGCAAGUCGAACGGUGAAGCGCUUUCCUUUUUGGUUGGUGUGGAUGAGUGGCGAACGGGUGAGUAACACGUGAGUAACCUGCCCCCUUCUUCUGGAUAACCGCAUGAAAGUGUGGCUAAUACGGGAUAUUCUGCGCCUGCUGCAUGGUGGGUGUGGGAAAGAUUGUGCCUUUGGGUGUUUUCGGUGGGGGAUGGGCUCGCGGCCUAUCAGCUUGUUGGUGGGGUGAUGGCCUACCAAGGCGGUGACGGGUAGCCGGCCUGAGAGGGUGGACGGUCACACUGGGACUGAGACACGGCCCAGACUCCUACGGGAGGCAGCAGUGGGGAAUAUUGCACAAUGGGCGCAAGCCUAAUGCAGCGACGCCGCGUGAGGGAUGGAGGCCUUCGGGUUGUGAACCUCUUUCGCCAGUGAAGCAGGCCUGCUCCUUGUGGGUGGGUUGACGGUAGCUGGAGAAGAAGCGCCGGCUAACUACGUG
This 503-nucleotide ribosomal RNA is filed under the name uncultured bacterium. RNAcentral's name for it is "partial 16S ribosomal RNA". It matches the Rfam family "Bacterial small subunit ribosomal RNA", at positions 28 to 507 of the family's 1533-position model. The record is from RNAcentral.